This 253-nucleotide ribosomal RNA is filed under the name uncultured bacterium. Its description in RNAcentral is "partial 16S ribosomal RNA". It matches the Rfam family "Bacterial small subunit ribosomal RNA", at positions 524 to 776 of the family's 1533-position model. The record is from RNAcentral.
UACGUAGGGGGCAAGCGUUGUCCGGAUUUAUUGGGCGUAAAGAGCGUGUAGGCGGCUGGGUAGGUCCGUUGUGAAAACUCGAGGCUCAACCUCGAGACGCCGAUGGAAACCCUCCAGCUAGAGUCCGGAAGAGGAGAGUGGAAUUCCUGGUGUAGCGGUGAAAUGCGCAGAUAUCAGGAAGAACACCCGUGGCUAAGGCGGCCCUCUAGUACGGUACUGACGCUGAGACGCGAAAGCGUGGGGAGCGAACAGG